RNAcentral lists this unclassified non-coding RNA (4064 nucleotides) under Acanthaster planci (crown-of-thorns starfish). Its description in RNAcentral is "probable cytosolic iron-sulfur protein assembly protein CIAO1 homolog, transcript variant X1". Lineage: Eukaryota; Metazoa; Echinodermata; Asteroidea; Valvatida; Acanthasteridae. The record is from RNAcentral.
CACAACGCCGCGCCGUCCCAAGGCCGGCGCGCUGUGCAUGUGCCGAGCUAGAUCGACUGUACAUAAGUACAUGUACACAUGUGUACUCGUACAACUACAUGCUGUACUGGUAUCUACCACCACAUAUGCACAAGGCGCGUGGAAUCAUGAACGUGCUUGGCAAGUUAGAAAACAUUGCAUCGCUUUCAGGGCAUCUGGAUCGUGUUUGGCACGUUUCAUGGAGCCCAAGUGGUAAACUUCUAACUAGCUGCAGCGGUGAUAAAACUAUUCGCAUGUGGGGUACGCAGUGGAAUGGUGGACAAGGCGCCCAAGGUAUUGACUGGACAUGUAAAGCAGUUCUUCAAGAUGGCCAUUCUCGUACUGUGCGACGAGUUAGUUGGUCUCCGUGCGGCAGAUUACUAGCGUCUGUAAGCUUUGAUGGCACUACUUGUAUUUGGAGUCAAAAGAAUGCAGAGUUUGAAUGCAUUACUACAUUGGAAGGACAUGAAAAUGAAGUAAAAAGCGUUUGCUGGUCUCCAUCAGGGUCUUUACUUGCAACUUGCAGCAGAGAUAAGAGUGUCUGGAUAUGGGAAGUGGAUCAUGAAGAAGAUGAUUACCAGUGUGUUGGCGUUCUAAGUGUCCACACCCAAGAUGUAAAGAAUGUAUGUUGGCAUCCAUAUAAGGAGAUUCUUGCAUCAUGUAGCUAUGACAGCACCAUCAAAAUGUUCCAUGAAGAAGACGACGACUGGUUCUGUGUUCAUACAUUAGCAGGCCAUGAGUCAACUGUUUGGGGAAUAAGCUUUGAUAAAACGGGAACAAGACUAGCAUCUUGCAGUGAUGACAAGACAGUGAAGAUAUGGCAAGGCUGUCACCCUGAUUGUCAAGAUGGUCUACAGACAAUAGCCCGCUGGAUGGUACCCCCUAACAAUGGCAACAAAGCAGCCUCAUACUACCAAGGUCUAAUCAAUGCGUGUGUUCCAGCGAAGGAAAACUCCAACCGAAGAAUCACUGAGAACAGCCGCUUUAUUCAGCAAGAGUGCGCCACGCUCUUGAGUUGCAAGCUCUCAUGUACUCAGCAGACAACAAGAACAAGAUAAAGGUCGGGGAGCAAACACUGGCUGUUGACCAACAGAUCAAGCUUUCUAAAUUCUUUCCCAUUUGAGAUGUGCCAAACUAUAGUGACCACGAUUUUCCCACACCUGGUCAUCUCAUCAUGCCAUUGUGGGUAUCUGUGUAUGUGGCCAUCCACUGAAAUAAGGACAGAUGACAUUGGCAGAGACCACUUUAUAGAAGGACCGUGCAACUGUCGUCCUCAGAUGUCCCCACUCUUCAUGCUCAGUGGCCACUCACAUGAAUGACAUUGUUGGAGAACUUGUUCUUGCUGAAGAAGUAUCAGCUGGCAAGUCUGGUACCUCUCGUUGACGGAGGAGCUGACGUCAACUACACUGCUAAUGAGAUGUACUAUGCUGAUCUGUUCAGAGGCAGUAACCUAGAUGCCCUGGUGGUGACUUCAUACUACCCGAGGUACUUAGCACUUAAUCCUAUUGAGCAAGUCUGGGCUCCAUGCACAAGGGCGUUAACAUCCGUCAGUCUUUCUGCUGAAAGCUAUGGAGAAGACCAACCACUGACAAGGGAAGAGCUGACUGCAGAGGAGAAGGAAAACACAACUCACCACAUCGUCAACAUAGCCAUGAUGUCGAUCAGAGAUAAUUACUGGUCGGAUGUGACAUUUGCGGGACAGCAAAUCAAAACAGUCGUAAGGGAGAGUGCGUCUGUGGAGCAACCUUACAGUCAUGAAAGCUACAAGGCAACACAUAAGGUGGUCUUGGGGUAGGCAAAGAAACUUAAACAAGAUGAGAGCAGCCAUCAAGAUUAUAUCUUCAUGGUGCAGCACAUGGAUAAGCGUGAGGCAGAAUGAGUAUUUUCACCAAGCGCAUCAAAUCCCCUUGUCUUCACUGCAAGUCACACCGCCCAGUUGCCAAGGAAAUGCUUGCAGGCGUGCGAAGAUUUCCCACACCCAAGCCAUCCACAGACAACUCUGGACAUUUUCAGACUUUCAUGGAGGCUGAGAGUUCAGCCCACAUUCCUCCUUGUGAGCACCUGCCCCUUUUUCAUUUGAAAGGACUCGGUAGGUGUCACGUUUCUUCCUGCAAGUACGUCUUCACGAGUAAAAGGAAGAGGAAGAUCAUCGAAUCAAAUUUCAUUCUAGACAUCAAGUUCUUAGGCUCAAACAGCUAUUUAACAUGCAGGACAGUUUGUGUAUUGAGUGUAUUGAAUGUUUUCUGGAGAGUUAACUCGAACAGAUAACAUUUUAGGAUCUUUAUUGUCCACUUGUGCAAACGAGCAAUCGCAAAGAAUUGAGAAGAAACAUGGCAAAUUUAAGCGAUGAUUUUGAAAUAAAAAAUCCAUGUAAUUCUUUGCCAAAACAGUUUUAAUUUAUAUGUGCAUGUAUUUCACCACAGAGGUGCUUUCUGGACAAACAAUUGAAGGCAGUCACAUUCAAAUAUGUUACAUGACAUGUAACAUUCUGCAAGAAUCAAAAGGUUAUUUUCAUCAGUGUAUAUUUUUUAACAACAGCGAUUGGGAGGUCCAUUCACUUUUAUAUUGAUUGAACAGUUCCAGCCGCAAGAGGUCAAAUGGAAUGAAUAAAUUAAUUGUAAUGUUUUCUCAUUUUGUUAUUUUAUGUCUGGUGUUCUUUAAACAAGCUUUUGUCAUAAUUGUGUUUAUUAACAUUUUGAAUAAUCUGUAUUUAUGUUUUGAUAUAUCAUAUUGUUAUAAAUUAAAUCAUUGCCAUUAAAAACAUAAAAAGUACAAUUUUUUGAAGACCCAACUCACCUGCUGACAUCACAAAUUUCUUUUUUUUUCCAUGUCAAUACGGCUGAAUGUGAUUAAAAUAAAAACUGUAAUAGUUGCUAUCCCCAUGGCAGUUUAAAAAAUCCAGUCAUUUUUAACAAAUACAAUAUAAUCUAACAAAUAAUUAGGCAGAUUAUUACAAUAAUUAUUAAUUAAUAAGUAAUGGAGGCAAGUCAAAGUUAUGUUAGGUUACCAGAAACAGUAUUACCAAGGAGAAUCAUGGGCCUGCUUGGGCCAGCUUCCUGGCUGCUAGCAAGAAUUUUAUUUUUAGAGGUGUGCUUAGUAGAUAUCUCGAUGUAGAUAUCUCCCAGGCCUGCAAUUUUGUUUAGCUUCUUCCACAGUACUUCUAAUCAAUCUUUGACAAAAAAGAAUUAUCCUGCGUAGAAAACCAAAUACAUGUCAAUAUAUAUUUCAGAACCAUGCACCAUUGCAGUUCAGACUGACUGCAUGCAAUUUGCUCUAUCAUACAAUGCAUUUGCGGAACUUGCAAAAAUCUUCAAUCAUUUUUUUAUUCAAAAUAUAUACAUUCAAAAUGUAUAGAUCUCAUAUAUUGGUGAAGUGAUUAUUUCCAACAGCAGAACGAUAGUUGUUUUGAAGAAUCCCACCCAGGAAUGACGACCAUACAGUCACUCACAAUGCAAACUGUCCACUGUUGAGAAUCGCGAACAGCAGAAACUGGGCAAUCAGCUGUUAAAUCGGAUACUUACUGAUGUGUGGUAGCCCUCCACAGUUGUUCAGCUGGCUUCCUUUGUGUAUGCAAAUCGACUGGCUCCGAGAACACGCUAUUGUUUAAGGAACGAUGAUAAUUGUGUUCCUGCCAUUCGCAUGCUGGUGAAUGCUGGAAAAAUAUUUUUAAAAUAUUUUUACGCCUCGUCUUAUGCAUAUUGUAUUCAGUGUUCAAGUGGAAACAUAUACGUGUGCAUGUAGUGAUGGUCAAAAAAAUUGUGCUGCGAUUUUAGCAUUACUUGGAAAUGUUUUAAAGGAUCCCUAUAAUUCUCAGUUUCAGUCUUGUGCGAAAGGAGAGGAUUUUUUUCGCCUUCAUUCAAAUUGAGUUGUGUGAAUAUAUUUUUGAUGUCAAGAGAGACUGUCAGUCACAUAAAUUCUGAAUAGACAUAUAGAAGGGUGUACAGUGAUUUGAUGAAAAGUAAUCUUGAACUGUCGCUUUCAAAUCAAUACCUAUGCAAGUUUCACAAUAAAUUGAUCCAUGCUGAAACGUUUUUACUGUUCUGGUU